GGAAAUUGUUUUUCUGGCUCAGCAACAACUCAGCUUUCUUUGCAAUUGCCUGAGGAACAUUUACCUCUGGUUCAGUCGAACAGAAGGAUUCCUCUUAAAAGCCCCCUUCUUCAGGAAAAGGUACUUUGUUUUUCAUGGCCACUGACGCACAAGUGGUGUAGAUCUGCGCCCGGGAACCAAACCCAGGCCCCCAAAGUGGAGCAUGCUGAACUCAACCACUAGGCCACUGGGGUUGGCCCAAAGAUUGGUUGGAUCUACGACAGUGUGUAUGCUCCAGGAGUUGUUAAGAAAUUGAGCUUUAUUGAGAUAUAAUUGAUAAACAAAAAACUACACAUAUUUAAUGUAUACAAUUCAAUGAGUUUGGAUGUGUGCAUAUACCCGUGGAACCAUCACCACAAUCAAGGAGAGCAUAGACGAGAUGAUGGCUUCGUGGAUUAAGUUCCUAGAGGUGAAAGGGGAAUCUGGUCAUAUUCUGGGUGUAUUUUGAAGACAAAGCCAACAGAAUUUGCUGAAGGUUAAGA
This 521-nucleotide long non-coding RNA is filed under the name Equus caballus (horse). RNAcentral describes it as "lncRNA (ENSECAG00000049521.1)". Lineage: Eukaryota; Metazoa; Chordata; Mammalia; Perissodactyla; Equidae. The record is from RNAcentral.